CUACGGGCCGCAGCAGUGAGGAAUAUUGCACAAUGGGGGAAACCCUGAUGCAGCAACGCCGCGUGGAGGAUGACGCAUUUCGGUGUGUAAACUCCUUUUAUAUGUCAAGAAAAUGACGGUAGCAUAUGAAUAAGCACCGGCUAACUCCGUGCCAGCAGCCGCGGUAAUACGGAGGGUGCAAGCGUUAUUCGGAAUCACUGGGCGUAAAGGACGCGUAGGCGGGUUAUCAAGUCAGGUGUGAAAUCCUACAGCUUAACUGUAGAACUGCACUUGAAACUGGUAGCCUAGAGUAUGGGAGGGGAAGAUGGAAUUAGUGGUGUAGGGGUAAAAUCCGUAGAUAUCACUAGGAAUACCGAAAGCGAAGGCGAUCUGCUGGAACAUUACUGACGCUAAGGCGUGAAAGCGUGGGGAGCAAACAGGAUUAGAUACCCGAGUAGUC
Molecule: ribosomal RNA, 439 nt
Filed under: uncultured bacterium
Lineage: Bacteria
Description: partial 16S ribosomal RNA
Rfam family: Bacterial small subunit ribosomal RNA
Source: RNAcentral